RNAcentral lists this long non-coding RNA (707 nucleotides) under Fragaria vesca (wild strawberry). RNAcentral describes it as "long non-coding RNA (FVES_LNC003840)". The record is from RNAcentral. Lineage: Eukaryota; Viridiplantae; Streptophyta; Magnoliopsida; Rosales; Rosaceae.
GUUGGUGAGCUCGGGUGCUAUUGAAGGCCAUGGUUAGCAACGCCGGUUUAGGCUGAGAGUGAACUCGGUCUGGUGAGGUUUAUAGCAAGGUGAGGAUUCUCUAGGUUUUUGCUCAGUUUGAGGAUUGAAUUGCUACUAUGUUUUGUGGUAUGGUUGAUUGGUGAUUAAUCUUGGGUUUUUGUUGUUUGUUGUCGAGAACUUGGUGUUUUGAAGAAUACGGGGAGGUCAUGGCAAAAUUCCGGCAAGUGGCUGGAAUUCGGCAGAAUAUUCCGGCAAGCUAUUGAAAUCUGAUGAGGGUUUCUGGUCAGGACAACAGAUCAACAGGGAGUCCAUAAGCUUAUGGUCAGGCAUGGGAUUGACUCAAGGACUUGGAUAUUUGGAGGCGGCGCUCGAGGAGUGUUUCGGGCAAUGGAAAACUUAGGUUUAAUCUGUGAGUGGACACUUUGGUUUUAAUAAAUAUGCAUGCAAGAUAAGAUAUCAAUUUAUUUUCCGAGCUUACAUUAUAAUUUUGGCUUAUGAAAUGAUCUUAGAAUUUAUUUGAGUUUUUGAUGCAUUGAUUAUGUAAUGGUCAUGAUUUAUGGAUUUGAGCUCGGGUUAUUAUUUUGGUAUUUGAGUUUUGAUAUUCCUUAUGACUUCCGGAUCUAUUUAUUAUUAUUUUAUUUGUUGACUUUGAGAUUUAUAAAAGAUUACCGAAAAUCCCAUUUUCG